UUUCUGAAAAAUCGGUGAUUUCGGUUCGGUUCGGUUUUAGAUUCAAAAAUUUCGAUUAGACCGAACCGAACUGAAAUCACUAAACUACGUCGUUUUGAAAUGUACCCUUAUAUUUGCCCUAAAUCUAAAAGCCUGAGUCACGCUACCCAUCUCCAUUCCACGCCGCCUCGCGAAUUAGCAACGUUGACGACUCCUCACCUCACUGUCGGCGUCGGUCGUCACUCUCCACGGAAUCGUCGGCGUCGGUCGUCACUCUCCACGGAAUCGUCGGCGUCGGUCGUCACUCUCCACGCGGCGCAUACCUUCGUCUCUCUCAAACCAAAUCCCUAAUCUCCAUCCUUCGCGUCUUCAAUCCGUAGCCACAGCCACCCACCCCAGUCGCUAGUCCCACAGCCACCCACCGGCCACCCACCCUGCCACCCUUCGCGUCUCUCUCUCACGGCCAUCGCUCGCGUCUCUCUCUCUCAUAGCCGUCGCUCGCGAGACUCACUGUGAUUCACAACACUCUAAAUACUCAAAGAAGGUUCAGUUGCUCAGUCUCACCGUGUUGGUAGAGUUAGCUCAGGUAUUUUUUUUUUUAAGAAAAUUUUUUGGUGAGUAAUUUCUGGGUUCUUUCUAGGAUGAAAUUUGGUUGCUGUAAGUGUUUGAAUUAUGCUUUUUUGGGUUUUGUUUCGAGUGUUUUGGUAUUGUGUUUCUGGUAAAUUUUGUUGCUACUUUGAUCUGUUAGUGUUUUGCUGAUUUCUUUUUUCCUUUAGUUUUAGUGCUACAGUUCAUUUGAUGGAUUUACUGCUUGUGGAACUGCGUCUUGUUUAUGUUAUUUGAUUUUUUAUGCUAAACGAGUGGUGCCAAGAAUUAUUUUAGAGAUCUGCUCUUAGUUUUGGGAGCUUCUGUUUCCAAGUUUCUUGUAAUUAUAAUUUUCUUUUCUAUCAUAAUUGUCAGGUUGUACCAGAACUUGGAAAAGUUUGGUGCCCAUGCAAGUGCAUAACACAUUAAUAGGCUAGGUCAAAAUUGUCUAGAUGUUUGUGUUUUUUUGCAGAAUGUAAAACUGGAACCUCUUAGGUUUAAUCAUUUGAAUUUUAGUUUAAUAAUUCUAAUAUUUUUUUUC
This is a long non-coding RNA of Manihot esculenta (cassava), 1105 nucleotides long. RefSeq lists it as uncharacterized. The record is from RefSeq and is a predicted model, not a curated record. NCBI's taxonomy places the organism in Eukaryota, Viridiplantae, Streptophyta, Magnoliopsida, Malpighiales, Euphorbiaceae. The transcript has 2 exons.